RNAcentral lists this transfer RNA (93 nucleotides) under Ancylobacter tetraedralis. RNAcentral describes it as "tRNA-Pro". The record is from RNAcentral. Lineage: Bacteria; Pseudomonadati; Pseudomonadota; Alphaproteobacteria; Hyphomicrobiales; Xanthobacteraceae.
GGCCGUGUGCUGCAGCUGGUAUGUUCCGAGCGGCUACAUAGAGCGAUUUUGCUGAGGUUGGGGGCGUGGGUUCGGAUCCCAUCGCGGGCUCCA